This 1275-nucleotide ribosomal RNA is filed under the name Notopteryx soror. RNAcentral describes it as "16S ribosomal RNA". The stretch from base 832 to 1203 matches the Rfam family "Bacterial large subunit ribosomal RNA", at positions 2073 to 2647 of the family's 2925-position model. The record is from RNAcentral. Lineage: Eukaryota; Metazoa; Arthropoda; Insecta; Hemiptera; Coreidae.
UUAAUUAGGAUAUUGUUUGUUUUAUUAUUUUUUAUAUUAUUAUGAGAAAUAACUUUUUUGUUAGUAAAUUUUAUUGAAUUCAUUAUUUUUAACAAUAGUUUAUAUUACUGUGAAGGAAAUAUUUUUAAUUAUUAAUAAGCAGAUUUUUUUUAUUGUACCUUUUGUAUCAGGGUUUAUCAAUUUUUAUUAAUUACAGUUAAUUUUCCCGAAAUUAAAAGAGAUAUAUUUAAAUGAUUAUUUACGUGUCAAAGUGAUUUUUAAUUUAUAUAUAGAGGUUAUAUGCUAUUCAAUUUUAAAUAUCUGGUUUUCUAAUAAAUUAAUUUAAUUAAGAUUAUUGUUAGUUAUUAUAUAAUUUUAUUUUUUUUAAUUACAAUAAUUAAAUUUAUAGGGGAUAAGCUCUAUUUAUGUAUUAUAACUUCGUGUUUAAUUAACAAAAUCUUGUAGGCUUAGUAACAGCUAACAUUUAUUUCGUUAUAGUUAAUUUUUAUUUUAUAUUUAUUUAUUGGUUAGGUUUAAUUAUGUAUUAGGAUUUUUUAUUUAAUUUUUUUUUAUAAGUAAUAAUGAUAAAAUUAGUAGUUUUGAAUAUUUAAGUAUAGGAAUUCGGCAAUAAUUAUUCCCGCCUGUUUAACAAAAACAUGGCCUUUAGAGUUUUAAUUAUAGGUCUAACCUGCCCAGUGAUUGAAUUAAACGGCCGCAGUAUUUUGACUGUGCGAAGGUAGCAUAAUCAUUUGUCUUUUAAUUGAAGGCUUGUAUGAAUGGUUGGACGAGGAAUAGACUUUCUUUAUUUAAAUUUUGUGAAUUUUAUUUUUGAGUUAAAAAGCUUAGAUUUUUUUGCAAGACGAGAAGACCCUAUAGAAUUUUACUGGGUUGUUUAUAUUUAUUAUUUGGUUUUAUAAAUGUAUAAAUGUAUUUUAUCUAGUUUUGUUGGGGCGACAGUGAAAAUUAAAUAACUUUUAUUUUUUAUUAUUCAUUAAUUAAUGUAUAUGUUGAUCCUUUAUUAAGGAUUAAGAGAUUAAAUUACCUUAGGGAUAACAGCGUAAUUUUUUCAGAGAGUUCUUAUCGAUGAAUAAAGUUUGCGACCUCGAUGUUGGAUUAAAAUUAGUUUUGGGUGUAGCAGCUCAUAUUACUAAGUCUGUUCGACUUUUAAAUUUUUACAUGAUCUGAGUUCAGACCGGCGUGAGCCAGGUUGGUUUCUAUCUGCAAUUGGUUGAGUUAUGUUUUAGUACGAAAGGACCGGGCAUAAAUAAUAGUUAUAGUUUUAUUGAUUAUUACUAA